UAGGAGACUGCCGGUGACAAACCGGAGGAAGGUGGGGAUGACGUCAAGUCAUCAUGGCCCUUACGGCCUGGGCUACACACGUGCUACAAUGGUCGGUACAAAGGGUUGCCAAGCCGCGAGGUGGAGCUAAUCCCAUAAAACCGAUCGUAGUCCGGAUCGCAGUCUGCAACUCGACUGCGUGAAGUCGGAAUCGCUAGUAAUCGUGAAUCAGAAUGUCACGGUGAAUACGUUCCCGGGCCUU
Molecule: ribosomal RNA, 241 nt
Filed under: uncultured Pseudomonas sp.
Lineage: Bacteria; Pseudomonadati; Pseudomonadota; Gammaproteobacteria; Pseudomonadales; Pseudomonadaceae
Description: partial 16S ribosomal RNA
Rfam family: Bacterial small subunit ribosomal RNA
Source: RNAcentral